RNAcentral lists this ribosomal RNA (491 nucleotides) under uncultured bacterium. RNAcentral describes it as "partial 16S ribosomal RNA". It matches the Rfam family "Bacterial small subunit ribosomal RNA", at positions 30 to 506 of the family's 1533-position model. The record is from RNAcentral.
AGUGAACGCUGGCGGUAGGCCUAACACAUGCAAGUCGAACGGCAGCACAGUAAGAGCUUGCUCUUACGGGUGGCGAGUGGCGGACGGGUGAGGAAUACAUCGGAAUCUACUUUUUCGUGGGGGAUAACGUAGGGAAACUUACGCUAAUACCGCAUACGACCUACGGGUGAAAGCAGGGGAUCUUCGGACCUUGCGCGAUUGAAUGAGCCGAUGUCGGAUUAGCUAGUUGGCGGGGUAAAGGCCCACCAAGGCGACGAUCCGUAGCUGGUCUGAGAGGAUGGUGAGCCACAUGGGAAAUGAGAGACGGUCCGGGCCCCAAGGGGAGGGAGCGGGGGGGAAAUUUGGAAAAGGGGCGAAAGCCUGAUCCAGCCAUACCGGGUGGGUGAAGAAGGCCUUCGGGUUGUAAAGCCCUUUUGUUGGGAAAAAAAAGCAGCGGGUUAAGACCCCGCUGUUCUGAGGGUACCCAAAGAAAAAGCCGCGGCAAACUUCGU